ACUCUCCCUGGAUGCUGGAGGCUGCUCCGCCGUGGGCAGGAGGAGAAGGAAGAGAACUGGGUGCCGCCUGCCUGCACUCUCUCCGGAUGCUGGAGGCUGGAGGCAGUGAGGCAGCAACAGCGCGAGGGCGAGGCGACUUUGGAGCUGCCUCAUGCAGCGACCUCGCCUUCCGCUGCGCCUCCUCCCAGAACCCAAGAAGCCUGGAACCUGUGGCGUCCAGCCCUGAAAGGAGGAGACGGCAACCCAGCCGCGCGUGAGUCCGGGAGUCUGGGAUACCGGCGGCAGAGGAAGGACAGGCAGGAGUCUCGGCCUCUCGGGGAGCGACGUGCCGGGAAAGUUUUGCCUGCACUCUCCCUGGAUGCUGGAGGCUGGAGGCAGUGACGCAGCAACAGCGCGAGGCGACUUUGGAGCGGCCUCAUAUAGCGACCUCGCCUUCCGCUGCGCGUCCUCCCAGAGCCCAAGAAGCCCGGAACCUGUGGCAUCCAUCUCUGAAAGGAGAAGACGGCAACCCAGCCGAGGCACUACUGGGUUGGGGUCUCCACGACCGAGCUGGUCUCAUCAAGUGGCGUCCAACAAGGGGCUCAAACCCGGGUUGAGGGGUUGCUGGAGCGACGGAGAACGUGGAACUACACUGGAGGACACCAGAGUACUCUUAAGCAAUCCCUUGGCCAAAACCAGCAACUGAUUUGGAUACCAUCAAGACACCUGAAAUCUUGUCAUGAGCCAGAUACUGAGGAAGAGAUUUUGGGAAGAACCCAAGGACCCCCCAGUUGCAGCCAUGUCAAGACUGACAAUAAGGAAGACAUCAGUCCCAGCAAGCAACAUUCAUCGGGCACAGCCACCCAUGUGGGGCCAGAUCAAGAAGUUGACACAGAUGGCGGAAGAAAAUCUGAAGAAAGCGGAUGACCAGCUACAAUGAGUAAUCUAAUGUCUGCAGAUGUGGAUCCCGAAUCCUGCGAGAAGUAGCCCACCAUGACGAAGCUGCCUUUGCUUUUAUCGCUUUGCAAAAACAGAAAAGGGGACAUGCUGGGAACAGGCCCUAAGCCUGUCAUAAACAGGCCUUAAACUGACCAUGAACAGGAUUUCUGCACGAAUGUGACGUGCUCCUGAUGGCUAUGACGCCCACUGCUAGAAGUUGUUAGUUUACUGGAGCAGGGUAGGGAACACCUGGCCCACCCGGAGCGGAAAACUGCUCAAACCACAAACAACAGCAUGAGUGGCCUGAGCCUUAACAACAUGUUUUUGCUGCAGAUAAUCGGCCAGAGACUGUUUCUCUACUCCUCUCUAAGUAUGCUUUGUUUUUCGUAAGGAAUGCUUUUAGCUAAUCUGUAACCUAUAGAAACAAUGCUUAUCACUGGCUUGCUGUCAAUAAACAUGUGGGUCAAACUCUGUUUGUGGCUCUCAGCUCUCAAGGCUGUUUUCCCCCUGAUUCCCACUUUGCACUUUAUUUCUGUGUGUUUGUCUUCAUUCCUCUAGCACCACUGGGUUGGGGUCUCCUUGACCAAGCUGGUCUCGGCACAUAUGCAUGUAUGCCCAGGUCCUGAAAUCAGCCUUGUGGAGCCUGUGGGUAGGAAAAGUCAACCCUCUGUGCAUGUAGGCCUGGAACCUGACCAAUACUGUAUUUUCCUACCACGUUUGGUUUCAAAUGUGGAAACUGCCCAUACGGACCUACUGCAUUUGUUUUUAAAAAUCCUCUGUAAGUGGACCUGCACAGUUCAGGCCCAGAUUGUUCCAGGAUCAACCCUACAGUAGAAAUCAAGUAUCUUUUUCAUUGUCUCUUGGGAUCUGCCUUUUCACCAAUAAAAUAUGAGGGCUGUUGGGAGCAGGCCCCCCCAAAUCUGGCCAUAAACUGUCCCCAAAACUGGCCAUAAACAAAAUCUCUGCAGCACUAUAACAUGUUCAUAAUGGCCAUAACGCCCAAGUUGGAAGGUUGUGGAUUUACAGGAAUGAGGGCAAGGAACACCUGGCCUGCCCAGGGUGGAAAACCACUUAAAGGCAUUCUUAAGCCACAAACAAUAGCAUGAGUGAUCUGUGCCUUAAGAACAUGCUCCUGCUGCAGUUAACUAGCCCAACAUAUUCCUUUAAUUCAGUCCAUCCCUUCGUUUCCCAUAAGGGAUACUUUUAGUUAAUUUAAUAUCUAUAGAAAGAAUGCUAAUGACUGGUUUGCUGUUAAUAAAUACGUGGGUAAAUCUCUGUUUGGGGCUCUCAACUCUGAAGGCUGUGAGACCCCUGAUUUCCCACUUGACACCUCUA
This 2253-nucleotide long non-coding RNA is filed under the name Homo sapiens (human). RNAcentral's name for it is "long intergenic non-protein coding RNA 839". The record is from RNAcentral. Lineage: Eukaryota; Metazoa; Chordata; Mammalia; Primates; Hominidae.